RNAcentral lists this unclassified non-coding RNA (631 nucleotides) under Hevea brasiliensis (rubber tree). The record is from RNAcentral. Lineage: Eukaryota; Viridiplantae; Streptophyta; Magnoliopsida; Malpighiales; Euphorbiaceae.
UAUAAAACUCAAUCAUGAUUAAUGGUGAAAAUAAAACAUUUUAAACUUGCCAAGAAAGUCCAGCCAUAAACCCAACACGUGUUCAAAGGGACUAGAAUGAUCCUCAAGCAACCAUGAAACCAUAAGAACUUUAAAGCCCAGAUACUGUACAGGAUACAAACUAUUUCUGAGAAGAAAAAAUUUCCUCACUAGUACCAUUUACCAUUCAUGUACCUUGUCUUGCUACAACAGCCAACAGGCUCCUUGUCCAAAACCAGCCCUACAGAUGGACUCUGGGCGACAAAAGCCAACAAAAGAGGCCUGAAAACCAACAAAUAUGUAGAUUCUUUGGAUUCACUUAGAUCACUAUUAAUCCUACAUUCAAGUUACUACUUGUUAGUGGAACCAUGUGAUAGGUGUGGAGGUGUUUUGAGGUGGCAGUGGCAUCAUGCAGUGCUGUUGCUGCCAUUGAGGCAAGCCUUGUGUUCCCCUGAAUUCAUUAAAUUCAUUCCCAUGCUCUUGCUCUAUGGUUUCAUUAGUAUUCUCUUCAAUAUCCAUUGUUGCUUCCCCAACUUGUUCAGCCUCCAUUAGUUCCGGAGACUCUGCCUGAGAGAUGUCCUUAUCUUGGGCAAUAGGAAACUGAGAAGGAACC